UACGACUACAUAUCAGGCAUAUCAAUAAGCGGAGGAAAAGAAACUAACUAGGAUUCCCUUAGUAGCGGCGAGUGAAGCGGGAAGAGCUCAAAUUUGAAAUCUUCAAGGUUCUACCUUUACGAAUUGUAGUUUAAAGAAGUGUUUUCUGUUGGAGUUUGGUAAAAGUUCUUUGGAAUAGGACAUCAUAGAGGGUGAGAAUCCCGUAUUUGACCAGUUACUUUCCAGCUGUGUGAUACACUUUCAAAGAGUCGGAUUGUUUGGGAAUGCAGUCCAAAAUGGGUGGUAAAUUUCAUCUAAAGCUAAAUAUUGGCGAGAGACCGAUAGCGAACAAGUACCGUGAGGGAAGAUGAAAAGAACUUUGAAAAGAGAGUUAAACAGUACGUGAAAUUGUCAAAAGGGAAGCGUUUGACACCAGUGUUGUUUAGUUGAAAAUCAAUUAAAUAGUUUUCGAUUUUAAGUAGUAUUGACCUUAUCAGCUUGCUGCUCUCUUCUCGGAAAUUAUUUAAUGCACUUUUCAGUUAACAAGUCAACAUCAAUUUCUUUUGUUGUAAAAAGGUAAGAGGAAGGUGGCUUGCGCUUCGGCUCAAGUGUCUAUAGCCUUUUACUUCUGCAAUCGGAGAGAUUGAGGUCUGCAGCGUAGAUCCUUCGGGGUUAGAUACAUUUGUGCUAAGCUAUAGCCUUGUAUAGACAACUUGUUGACUAUGCUCAGUCAUGUAGCUUACUCGCUUAUGCUAUUUUACCUACGCUUAGGAUGUUGACGCGCGUGUGUGCGUG
RNAcentral lists this ribosomal RNA (774 nucleotides) under uncultured Neocallimastigales. RNAcentral describes it as "partial large subunit ribosomal RNA". It matches the Rfam family "Eukaryotic large subunit ribosomal RNA", at positions 24 to 639 of the family's 3401-position model. The record is from RNAcentral. Lineage: Eukaryota; Fungi; Neocallimastigomycota; Neocallimastigomycetes; Neocallimastigales.